This 70-nucleotide transfer RNA is filed under the name Camelus bactrianus (Bactrian camel). It matches the Rfam family "tRNA". Rfam says of the family: Transfer RNA (tRNA) molecules are approximately 80 nucleotides in length. Lineage: Eukaryota; Metazoa; Chordata; Mammalia; Artiodactyla; Camelidae. RNAcentral also lists the same sequence under 1 other name. The record is from Rfam by way of RNAcentral.
GGAUAUAGCUCAGUGGUAGAGCACAUGCUUAGCAUACACAAGGUCCUGGGUUCAAUCCCCAGUACCUCCA